Molecule: ribosomal RNA, 253 nt
Filed under: uncultured bacterium
Lineage: Bacteria
Description: partial 16S ribosomal RNA
Rfam family: Bacterial small subunit ribosomal RNA
Source: RNAcentral
UACGUAGGGGGCAAGCGUUGUCCGGAAUCAUUGGGCGUAAAGAGCGCGUAGGCGGCCAGAAAAGUCCGCUGUGAAAACUCGAGGCUCAACUUCGAGCUGUCGGUGGAAACUUUCUGGCUAGAGUCCGGAAGAGGAGAAUGGAAUUCCUGGUGUAGCGGUGAAAUGCGCAGAUAUCAGGAAGAACACCAAUGGCGAAGGCAGCUCGCUGGGACGGUACUGACACUGAGACGCGAAAGCGUGGGGAGCAAACAGG